This 73-nucleotide non-coding RNA is filed under the name unclassified sequences. The record is from Rfam.
ACUGUGGAGUGUACAAAAACCUGUGAGUAGCGUAUUGCCUGCAAUCGUCAAAACAUACACAAUGAAGCAGUAA